GGUCCCCGACAGCCUCUCCACUCUUACGGAUUUGGUGGGGAUCUCUGCAGCAGGCAGGAAAACAAAUCCCUUCAAUCAGCAUAUUCUAGCAGAACCACGCAGUCACCAAUCAUAACAAGAGACGGUUAUGAGCCUGAUGGAGCAAACAGCCACUUUAGCGGUCAGCCAUUGUGGAAGGAGGAGGAAGAAAUACGUAUUCUGAUCCUGCUGAACUUGUAUUUUUUGUGUUAUUAUUAUUUUUUCUUCUUAUACCUGAUAUUUAUCAGUUCUUAAAGUCGGAAUUUCACUUUGCUGCAGCUAAAACUCUCCUGUCCUUCAACAGCUCCAUAACUGCAGAUGAUAAAUACCUUCAG
Long non-coding RNA from Oryzias melastigma (Indian medaka), 353 nucleotides. RefSeq lists it as uncharacterized. Lineage: Eukaryota; Metazoa; Chordata; Actinopteri; Beloniformes; Adrianichthyidae. The transcript is spliced from 2 exons. The record is from RefSeq and is a predicted model, not a curated record.